Phascolarctos cinereus (koala) is the source of this 913-nucleotide non-coding RNA. Lineage: Eukaryota; Metazoa; Chordata; Mammalia; Diprotodontia; Phascolarctidae. The record is from RefSeq and is a predicted model, not a curated record.
UUUGAGUUUCUGACAGCUAAAGUAACUGGGAAUCCUGCUUUCCCAUCAUCUUUCUUUAUCGAUCCUCUCCUGAAUUUGGAAUGUAGUUCAAAGGUUUCUGCUGUUGUGAUGGAGGAUGAGGGUCUCUACUGCAUUCUCUUAUGUUUAAGACAUGUUUGCCCCCUUUGCAUCUCUUCUUGUUCUCUACCUCUCUCAGCCCUCUUCUACUAAAUCAUUUUCCCAGACGGCCUCUCUUACAUCUGUCACUUUGCAUGGAUCAUGCUUUGGACAUAGGAGAAGAUGAACAGGAAUGUGAGGAAAAGGCCACUGAAAUGUACCAUGACUCACAGACACAGAGAGAGAGAGUCUGGAAUACAGGAGGAAAAGAGGCAGUGUGACAAGAUGGAGAUUCAGACUCUUUCAGGAUAUUACCCACAAAUACCAAGUUGACAGCUGAAAUGAUGACCCUGGCAAAAUGACAAAAGCAACUGAAGAGGAAGCAGAUCUAAUAACGGGAGUUCUGGGUUAGGUCUGUGGCCUGAGAGUCAGAAUAUCUGGUUCUUCCCUUGAUGCUUAAGAACCACCAUGGCAGGCAAGGACGACACAGCCAAACAUGGGCUGGAGAAGGGAGAGAGGUGCUCCUGCUCAAGUGCACAUUUGCAACCCAGUCUUCCUAUGGUAUCCCUAGCUGGCCAUCUGUGCUGGUCUGGAAAUGGAACAAGAACUGGGAAGGCAAAGACUGGCUCCUCUCAAUCCCAGACAUUUCCCAUUCUUCAGACUCUUUGGAAGCCCAUUCUUCUGAAGCUGCCAUAUACAGGCCACACCAUCUGACUCUAGAACAGUAUUUCCUCUAAUCUCUGAUCAAACCAAACUAAACCAAACCAAACCAUACUUUUUGGAAUCAGAAGACCUGGAUUUAAGUCACGUCGCCAUU